CCUACGGGAGGCAGCAGUGAGGAAUAUUGGUCAAUGGGCUUACGCCUGAACCAGCCAAGUCGCGUGAGGGAAGACUGCCCUAUGGAUUGUAAACCUCUUUAGGCGGGGAGCAAUGCCGGGCACGCGUGCCCGGAGGGAGAGUACCCGCAGAAUAAGCAUCGGCUAACUCCGUGCCAGCAGCCGCGGUAAUACGGAGGAUGCGAGCGUUAUCCGGAUUUAUUGGGUUUAAAGGGUGCGUAGGCGGAUUUUUAAGUCAGCGGUAAAAUGUCCGGGCUCAACCCGGGCCGGCCGUUGAAACUGGGGAUCUUGAGCGGGCGAGAAGUAUGCGGAAUGCGUGGUGUAGCGGUGAAAUGCAUAGAUAUCACGCAGAACUCCGAUUGCGAAGGCAGCUUACUAAACUGCCACUGACAUUGAUGCUCGAAAGUGUGGGUAUCAAACAGGAUUAGAUACCCCAGUAGUC
Molecule: ribosomal RNA, 460 nt
Filed under: uncultured bacterium
Lineage: Bacteria
Description: partial 16S ribosomal RNA
Rfam family: Bacterial small subunit ribosomal RNA
Source: RNAcentral